RNAcentral lists this transfer RNA (71 nucleotides) under Loxodonta africana (African savanna elephant). It matches the Rfam family "tRNA". From Rfam's summary of the family: Transfer RNA (tRNA) molecules are approximately 80 nucleotides in length. Their secondary structure includes four short double-helical elements and three loops (D, anti-codon, and T loops). The record is from Rfam by way of RNAcentral. Lineage: Eukaryota; Metazoa; Chordata; Mammalia; Proboscidea; Elephantidae.
GACUUGGUGGUUCAAUGGUAGAACUCUCACCUUCCAUGCGGGAGCCCUGGGUUCUAUUCCCGGUCAAUGCC